CUAUUGUUCGACUCCAAGUCUGAAUUCUUCGACGACUGCGGUGCGAAAUUGACUAAAUCCCCAAUUUGAUUCUUUAAUCGGCGAAAUCGACGAACUGAAGACAUGGCGGCUGAAUAAGGAUGGAAAUGGUUAUGGAUUUUUUUUAUGGAAGGAUCAAAACCUACCAAGGAGAGGAAAAUAUGAGCACGAAGACAUAAACGUCAUGGUAGUUUCUUUGAAUCGUGAAAUAGGAGGUGUGCGAGAUGUAAUUGUAAAUGACUAUAAUGAUAUUAGAAAAAGAAAACAAAAUACUAAGAAAAAAUGUUUUGUUCUCAUUAUUGUAGUUGGUGUGCUUGUAGCAAAAUUAUUGGUUUGAGAUGGUAAUACAAUGA
Molecule: long non-coding RNA, 371 nt
Organism: Ipomoea nil (Japanese morning glory)
Lineage: Eukaryota; Viridiplantae; Streptophyta; Magnoliopsida; Solanales; Convolvulaceae
Exons: 2
Source: RefSeq, a predicted model, not a curated record